Molecule: ribosomal RNA, 460 nt
Filed under: uncultured bacterium
Lineage: Bacteria
Description: partial 16S ribosomal RNA
Rfam family: Bacterial small subunit ribosomal RNA
Source: RNAcentral
CCUACGGGAGGCAGCAGUGAGGAAUAUUGGUCAAUGGGCGCGAGCCUGAACCAGCCAAGUAGCGUGAAGGAUGACUGCCCUACGGGUUGUAAACUUCUUUUAUAAAGGAAUAAAGUGAGGCACGUGUGCCUUUUUGUAUGUACUUUAUGAAUAAGGAUCGGCUAACUCCGUGCCAGCAGCCGCGGUAAUACGGAGGAUCCGAGCGUUAUCCGGAUUUAUUGGGUUUAAAGGGAGCGUAGGUGGAUUGUUAAGUCAGUUGUGAAAGUUUGCGGCUCAACCGUAAAAUUGCAGUUGAAACUGGCAGUCUUGAGUACAGUAGAGGUGGGCGGAAUUCGUGGUGUAGCGGUGAAAUGCAUAGAUAUCACGAAGAACUCCGAUUGCGAAGGCAGCAUACCGGCUCCAUACUGACGCUGAGGCACGAAAGCGUGGGGAUCGAACAGGAUUAGAUACCCUAGUAGUC